This 28-nucleotide non-coding RNA is filed under the name Cricetulus griseus (Chinese hamster). The record is from RNAcentral. Lineage: Eukaryota; Metazoa; Chordata; Mammalia; Rodentia; Cricetidae.
CACCUGUAUACCUGAGUCCUCUAGAAAA